AACCCUUGACAUACUUGUCGCGGAUUCCAGAGAUGGAUUCCUUCAGUUCGGCUGGACAAUGUACAGGUGCUGCAUGGCUGUCGUCAGCUCGUGUCGUGAGAUGUUCGGUUAAGUCCGGCAACGAGCGCAACCCACGUCCUUAGUUACCAGCAUUUAGUUGGGUACCCUAAGGAGACUGCCGGUGAUAAGCCGGAGGAAGGUGUGGACGACGUCAAGUCAUCAUGGCCCUUACGGGUUGGGCUACACACGUGCUACAAUGGCAUCUACAGUGAGUUAAUCUCCAAAAGAUGUCUCAGUUCGGAUUGGGGUCUGCAACUCGACCCCAUGAAGUUGGAAUCGCUAGUAAUCGCGGAACAGCAUGCCGCGGUGAAUACGUUCCCGGGCC
This 385-nucleotide ribosomal RNA is filed under the name uncultured bacterium. RNAcentral's name for it is "bacterial SSU rRNA". It matches the Rfam family "Bacterial small subunit ribosomal RNA", at positions 976 to 1380 of the family's 1533-position model. The record is from RNAcentral.